UGUUUCGGCAAGGGGGUCAUCCCGACUUACCAACCCGAUGCAAACUGCGAAUACCGGAGAAUGUUAUCACGGGAGACACACGGCGGGUGCUAACGUCCGUCGUGAAGAGGGAAACAACCCAGACCGCCAGCUAAGGUCCCAAAGUCAUGGUUAAGUGGGAAACGAUGUGGGAAGGCCCAGACAGCCAGGAUGUUGGCUUAGAAGCAGCCAUCAUUUAAAGAAAGCGUAAUAGCUCACUGGUCGAGUCGGCCUGCGCGGAAGAUGUAACGGGGCUAAACCAUGCACCGAAGCUGCGGCAGCGACGCUUAUGCGUUGUUGGGUAGGGGAGCGUUCUGUAAGCCUGUGAAGGUGUGCUGUGAGGCAUGCUGGAGGUAUCAGAAGUGCGAAUGCUGACAUAAGUAACGAUAAAGCGGGUGAAAAGCCCGCUCGCCGGAAGACCAAGGGUUCCUGUCCAACGUUAAUCGGGGCAGGGUGAGUCGACCCCUAAGGCGAGGCCGAAAGGCGUAGUCGAUGGGAAACAGGUUAAUAUUCCUGUACUUGGUGUUACUGCGAAGGGGGGACGGAGAAGGCUAUGUUGGCCGGGCGACGGUUGUCCCGGUUUAAGCGUGUAGGCUGGUUUUCCAGGCAAAUCCGGAAAAUCAAGGCUGAGGCGUGAUGACGAGGCACUACGGUGCUGAAGCAACAAAUGCCCUGCUUCCAGGAAAAGCCUCUAAGCAUCAGGUAACAUCAAAUCGUACCCCAAACCGACACAGGUGGUCAGGUAGAGAAUACCAAGGCGCUUGAGAGAACUCGGGUGAAGGAACUAGGCAAAAUGGUGCCGUAACUUCGGGAGAAGGCACGCUGAUAUGUAGGUGAAGCGACUUGCUCGUGGAGCUGAAAUCAGUCGAAGAUACCAGCUGGCUGCAACUGUUUAUUAAAAA
RNAcentral lists this ribosomal RNA (920 nucleotides) under Escherichia coli. RNAcentral describes it as "partial 23S ribosomal RNA". It matches the Rfam family "Bacterial large subunit ribosomal RNA", at positions 911 to 1813 of the family's 2925-position model. The record is from RNAcentral. Lineage: Bacteria; Pseudomonadati; Pseudomonadota; Gammaproteobacteria; Enterobacterales; Enterobacteriaceae.